AACGAACGUUAGCGGUGUGGAUUAGGCAUGCAAGUCGUGCGCGAAAGCCUUCGGGCGAGUAAAGCGGCGAACGGGUGAGUAACACGUAACCAACCUACCCUCGAGAUCGGAAUAACCACUGGAAACGGUGGGUAAUGCCGGAUGGUCUCUGGAAAUGGCAUCAUCACCAGAGUAAACGGUGGCUUUGCUGCUGUUCGGGGAGGGGGUUGCGGCCUAUCAGCUUGUUGGUGGGGUAAAGGCCUACCAAGGCAAUGACGGGUAGCCGGUCUGAGAGGACGAUCGGCCACACUGGGACUGAGACACUGCCCAGACUCCUACGGGAGGCUGCAGUCGAGAAUCUUCCGCAAUGGGCGAAAGCCUGACGGAGCGACACCGCGUGCAGGAUGACGGCCUUCGGGUUGUAAACUGCUGUCACGCUAUAGGAACUCCCUGCUGUUAAUAGCUUCAGGGUUGACCAAAGCGAAAGGAAGCACCGGCUAACUCCGUGCCAGCAGCCGCGGUAAGACGGAGGGUGCAAACGUUGUUCGGAAUUACUGGGCGUAAAGCGCGCGUAGGCGGCCGUAUAAGUCAUUUGUGA
RNAcentral lists this ribosomal RNA (577 nucleotides) under uncultured bacterium. Its description in RNAcentral is "bacterial SSU rRNA". It matches the Rfam family "Bacterial small subunit ribosomal RNA", at positions 28 to 597 of the family's 1533-position model. The record is from RNAcentral.